Molecule: ribosomal RNA, 370 nt
Filed under: uncultured eukaryote
Lineage: Eukaryota
Description: partial 18S ribosomal RNA
Rfam family: Eukaryotic small subunit ribosomal RNA
Source: RNAcentral
CAAUAGCGUAUAUUAAAGUUGUUGCAGUUAAAAAGCUCGUAGUUGGAUUUCUGGUCGGAAGCUCCUGUCCUCUGAUGAGCGUACAAGUGCGUCAUACCAUCCUUCUGUUAACCUUUAAGGCUUUCGCGGCUUUCUAGGGGCUCAGAUAUUUUACCUUGAGAAAAUUAGAGUGUUUCAGGCAGGCUAGCGCCGGAAUACAUUAGCAUGGAAUAAUGGAAUAGGACUUUUGCCUCUUCUGUUGGUCAUGAGGCUCGAGUAAUGAUUAAUAGGGAUAGUUGGGGGCAUUAGUACUUAACUGUCAGAGGUGAAAUUCUCGGAUUUGUUAAAGACUAACUUAUGCGAAAGCAUUUGCCAAGGAUGUUUUCAUUAA